Molecule: ribosomal RNA, 1489 nt
Filed under: Lactiplantibacillus plantarum
Lineage: Bacteria; Bacillati; Bacillota; Bacilli; Lactobacillales; Lactobacillaceae
Description: bacterial SSU rRNA
Rfam family: Bacterial small subunit ribosomal RNA
Source: RNAcentral
GACGAACGCUGGCGGCGUGCCUAAUACAUGCAAGUCGAACGAACUCUGGUAUUGAUUGGUGCUUGCAUCAUGAUUUACAUUUGAGUGAGUGGCGAACUGGUGAGUAACACGUGGGAAACCUGCCCAGAAGCGGGGGAUAACACCUGGAAACAGAUGCUAAUACCGCAUAACAACUUGGACCGCAUGGUCCGAGCUUGAAAGAUGGCUUCGGCUAUCACUUUUGGAUGGUCCCGCGGCGUAUUAGCUAGAUGGUGGGGUAACGGCUCACCAUGGCAAUGAUACGUAGCCGACCUGAGAGGGUAAUCGGCCACAUUGGGACUGAGACACGGCCCAAACUCCUACGGGAGGCAGCAGUAGGGAAUCUUCCACAAUGGACGAAAGUCUGAUGAAGCAACGCCGCGUGAGUGAAGAAGGGUUUCGGCUCGUAAAACUCUGUUGUUAAAGAAGAACAUAUCUGAGAGUAACUGUUCAGGUAUUGACGGUAUUUAACCAGAAAGCCACGGCUAACUACGUGCCAGCAGCCGCGGUAAUACGUAGGUGGCAAGCGUUGUCCGGAUUUAUUGGGCGUAAAGCGAGCGCAGGCGGUUUUUUAAGUCUGAUGUGAAAGCCUUCGGCUCAACCGAAGAAGUGCAUCGGAAACUGGGAAACUUGAGUGCAGAAGAGGACAGUGGAACUCCAUGUGUAGCGGUGAAAUGCGUAGAUAUAUGGAAGAACACCAGUGGCGAAGGCGGCUGUCUGGUCUGUAACUGACGCUGAGGCUCGAAAGUAUGGGUAGCAAACAGGAUUAGAUACCCUGGUAGUCCAUACCGUAAACGAUGAAUGCUAAGUGUUGGAGGGUUUCCGCCCUUCAGUGCUGCAGCUAACGCAUUAAGCAUUCCGCCUGGGGAGUACGGCCGCAAGGCUGAAACUCAAAGGAAUUGACGGGGGCCCGCACAAGCGGUGGAGCAUGUGGUUUAAUUCGAAGCUACGCGAAGAACCUUACCAGGUCUUGACAUACUAUGCAAAUCUAAGAGAUUAGACGUUCCCUUCGGGGACAUGGAUACAGGUGGUGCAUGGUUGUCGUCAGCUCGUGUCGUGAGAUGUUGGGUUAAGUCCCGCAACGAGCGCAACCCUUAUUAUCAGUUGCCAGCAUUAAGUUGGGCACUCUGGUGAGACUGCCGGUGACAAACCGGAGGAAGGUGGGGAUGACGUCAAAUCAUCAUGCCCCUUAUGACCUGGGCUACACACGUGCUACAAUGGAUGGUACAACGAGUUGCGAACUCGCGAGAGUAAGCUAAUCUCUUAAAGCCAUUCUCAGUUCGGAUUGUAGGCUGCAACUCGCCUACAUGAAGUCGGAAUCGCUAGUAAUCGCGGAUCAGCAUGCCGCGGUGAAUACGUUCCCGGGCCUUGUACACACCGCCCGUCACACCAUGAGAGUUUGUAACACCCAAAGUCGGUGGGGUAACCUUUUAGGAACCAGCCGCCUAAGGUGGGACAGAUGAUUAGGGUG